UACCAGCACCCCGAGUGGUCGGGACGAUUAUUGGGCCUAAAGCAUCCGUAGCCGGUUUUACAAGUCCUCCGUUAAAUCCAGCUGCUUAACAGAUGGGCUGCGGAGGAUACUAUAAGACUAGGAGGCAGGAGAGGCAAGCGGUACUCAGUGGGUAGGGGUAAAAUCCGUUGAUCCAUUGAAGACCACCAGUGACGAAGGCGGCUUGCCAGAAUGCGCUCGACGGUGAGGGAUGAAAGCUGGGGGAGCAAACCGG
Molecule: ribosomal RNA, 253 nt
Filed under: uncultured bacterium
Lineage: Bacteria
Description: partial 16S ribosomal RNA
Rfam family: Archaeal small subunit ribosomal RNA
Source: RNAcentral